GGAUGCGAUCAUACCAGCACUAAAGCACCGGAUCCCAUCAGAACUCCGAAGUUAAGCGUGCUUGGGCGAGAGUAGUACUAGUAUGGGUGACCUCCUGGGAAGUCCUCGUGUUGCAUUCC
This is a non-coding RNA of Triticum aestivum (bread wheat), 119 nucleotides long. Lineage: Eukaryota; Viridiplantae; Streptophyta; Magnoliopsida; Poales; Poaceae. The record is from Rfam.